GUGAGUACAAGAGAUUUUCAGGCAAAUUUGUGAUGCAGAAAUUUAAAAAUUUUAUGAAUAUGCAAAUUGGUGGCAGGUUGUCAUGUUUUAAUGACAUAUAAAAUAAUGUAUAAAAAUAUAAAAUAGUAUGAUAGCUAUAGUCUGACCUAAAGGAAGUCCAAAGAAAGGGAAAGUCUAUGGAAAAAUAUGAAAGUGCUAGAAUAAGAAAUAAUUCUCCCAUAGAGAAGUCUGUUUCAGUCAUCAUCGGAAAAGCUUCCUCCUGCAGUAGAUGGAGACAAAUACAGAGAAGCUUAAUUGAACAGUGUUCAGAAUCAGAGAGCUUGGAAUACUCAGUCCUAAAUGGUAUGCCUUCAUCAAACCCCUUGGGGCUCAUGGAACUCUGCAGAAGAGGAAGCAAAAAGAUUGUAAGAGCCAGUGGAGAUAAAGGACACCAAGAAAACUUAACAGGACUGGUAAACAUAUGAACUCACAGAGACUGUGGCAGCAUCACAGAGCCCGCACAGGUUCAGGCCAGAAGGUCUCUCCGCACUGAGAUUGAUGUGACGAACAACAAAGGGAUCGAGGGUCUCUAAAGAGGUCAGAAAGCCAAAGGAGUCUCCACCUACUAAGUGGGAAAGUCAGAAGCAGACUGGUCUCGUAGAAGCUUCUACAAUCUGCCGAGUCUCCAGAAAGCUUUCAUGAGUGUUCUGGGUACGGAGAAAGGCACCCUUCUCAAGGGUUUCUAUGACCUUCACAUCUGUUUAUGCAUCUGGCUGCAACCACCUCUCUAGAACACUGUCCCCUCUAUCCCUCUUCCGGUCACAUAGAGUGUCUACACACGGCAUCUGUGAGCUAAAGCCACAUGGGAAAGGUGACCACGGGAUACGAGUUCUACCUUCUCUACAGGGCAAUGGGACCCCAAGGGAACAACAGAAAAAAUGGAAUAAAGAGACAUAGUGGACAACUUCUGUUUGGCAACAUGGCACUGAUAUGGCUAUCUGCCAUGCUCAAGAGAACCCAUGUUGGACAACCAGGGACCUAGGAGUCAUUCUAAACUUGCUGACCACAAAUAUCCAAGAAUCCCAAAAAGACAGUCAUGCUGGUUAGUGUUUUGUCAACUUGACACAAGUUAAUGUCAUAUUGGAAGAAGGAAUCUCAACUGAGAAAACACCUCUAUAAGAUUUAGAUAAAUUUCUCACUCACUCUCAUCAAAAAGAAGGAAAGAGAGAAAAAAAGGAAGGAAGGAAGGAAAAGAAAAAGAAAACAAAAAACUCCUCUUUAUAGCAAAUGGAGAAACACUGCAGAAAACCAUACCAUAACUGGACACACUGAAGAGAUCAAAGAAUCAUGGAUGUCACAGCACCAAUGGAUACAUCUACAACACAACUCUUGUACCCAAGGCUCAGGAAAUAUUAUGUAAAAGGGAGCAGAAAGGAUUGUAAGCACCAGAGGGCAAGGAAGUCUGUUGUGGAAACAUUGUCUCCUAGAAGUGGCUUCCAAAACAAGACCUGAACAAUGGUGAUAUCAAUAGACAUGCUAAUGCAGAAAUGGAGAAAAUCUCAUGGGGUCCCACCCCUAGACAAAGAACUACAGGCAUCUAAUGACUACAAGAAAGGAAAACAGGUUCUCCUAGAGAAGACUUUCUAAUUGCUUAUCCAAUACAAGGUGAUCUGUUCUGAUUGUACAUGCAAACAACAAAAAAUGGACUUGUGAGAUUAUAUUUAUGUAUUUGUGCAUGUGUGUAUACACAUACAUGUGCAUGUGCGUGUCUGUGUGUAAUAAUAAUAACAAAGAAAAAGAGGCCAUCAAUUUGAAAGUGAGUGGGAGGGCAUGGAGGAAGGGGACGUGGGAGAGGUUGAAGUGAGAAAAGGGAAGAGGGGAGUGAUAUAAUCUUAUUUUGAUUAAAGGCAUAUUAAAAAUAAUAAGCAUUUUUAGAAGUAUAGGAAGUUGUGAAACCCAAGACAUACAAGUCAUGAGGUACAUUUUAAGAUUGCUUUGUUUUGUUUUGUCUGUAUGUAAGUCUGUGUACCACACACACAUUAGUGACCACAGAAAUCAGAAGAAGAAAAUGAACCAUAGGAAACAGAGUUACAAAUAGUAGUGAGUCACAGUGUGGGUUCUAGGAAUCAAACCACAAUCCUCUGGAAGUACACCCAGUGCACUUAACCUCUAGCCUGUUUUUUAGCCCCUACUUUUUUCUAGUGGAAAAUUUGAAUAAGAUUUGGAGAUACAUACAUACAUACAUACAUAUAUAUGAAACAUACAUAAAAAUAUAUAUUGGAAGUGUGUAUAUAUAUUAGAUAUAUAUGUAUAUAUUUGGAAAAUAUAAUCUGUGAAAUAUUUGAGUGCAGAACUAAUAAGGUACACGAGCUCUAGUAUUUAGCCCAUGUGCUGUAAUAAGGUUCAAACACUAAAAAUCAUUUUGUACUAUUUGCUGGGUUGUGACUUGGAUUUUCACAAAGGGAAAAUAAAAAGAAAUUAGAACAAGCUGCAGGUUUUCCUUCUGCAAGAUUACAUUUUGUUGCAAACCCUGUAGGAUCAAUUAAAUUGGAAAAUAGAAAGUGUCCUAGUUACUUACAAUUUUUUAUAAAAAUCACAAAGUAAAAAAUAAACUAUUACACAGACAUAAGAGCAAAAACUAUUAGAAUUCAUAAUAACCCAUAUCAUUUUAUCAGGUAUUCUCCCCCAAAGGCAUUUUCUGCUCAUAAGAAUUGCUUCCUUUUACUCUAGACAAUUAUAGCUUAUAAAAAUCAUCUAAUGUUUAUUUUUAAAGUCUAAAUGUGAUUAAGAUAUAGAGAUUAUAGCAAUAAAAUAAGAAUAAGUUAUACAGAUGAUUAAACUUAAAGUAAUUUAAGGACUAACAUAAUAAAUUUACAUGGAUGCUGAUGUUAAAAAUAAUUCAGAUGACACAUGUAGUUUUGUUUCUGAAUUUCUUUCUAAUAGAGUUUCAGGUUAAAGGUCAAAUAUACUUUUUCUUUAAAUUCAUCAGCAAAUAUUUGCACAUGCACAGUCCUCAGACUAGAAACCUUUCCAUGCUGCUUUCUAUACCCUCUGUGCAAUUCUCACAAGAUGGAGGAGGGCACGUUCCAACAAAGCCUGAGCGUGUGCAGCUUGCCACCUGUACACCAACAGAAAUAGGGGCCCCAUUCUGAGGGAGAAAGAAAUUCACUGGGAACUUCUGGGAGUCUCAAAUGAUCUGAAUUCACCUAUACUAACUAAUUUGAUCUACAAAACACAAAUUUCUAGGAACUGUAUUUUUCAACAUCAGCCUGGCAACUUACUUUCAUUUUACUUUCAAAGAAAGAAAAAGACAAAAACAAGAUGCAAGAAAAAGGUACAGAAAAUGGAAAUGGUGGAUCCUUUUUCAUCAUAAACUGCAUCUUAGCCUGGGCCUUUUCAUUUAGCAUAAAGAUCACUAUUUUAAAUUACGAAGAAGGCAGACAAUGAGAAUGAAUUGCCAUGGGUUUUUGUGUUCUCAUUAAAUAAGAGAAUUUGAUGAUUAUUCCUGGAAUGAUCCUCCUCCUCUGCAGCAUAGAUGGAGACAUUGUCUGAUUUGGGAAAACGUCAUGCAACUCUAUUAAAUUCCACUGGUGUUUUUUGUGUACACACUUUGAAGGUAUUUUUACAAGAUGCUCUUACUCUUUUACACACAUGCAAAGAUCCACUUUCUUAUUAGCUUUUUAUUCCUUACAACCAUGAAGCUGAAUUCAAUGAAGACUGUAACGUCUAUGUAGAAAAUGAUGGUCCAGUGUGCACCAGGACCUAUCGGACAAACUGAGCCCAUCAGGUCAUUGACUUUCCAUUUGUUGGUUUUUAGAGGCAGCAGUUUUUAGUUUCAGUGAAUAAGAAUGAGGCAGAGAACACAAAAGCAAAAACAGAGAACCAGAAGCCAACUGUAGAGGAAAGGGAGAAAGGACGUAUGAGGUCCAUUUUUAAUGAUUUUUAAUGACAAGAUUAGAAAUCCAUACUAGAAUUUAUCAUGCAAAUUAAUAUUUUAAAUAUGUGUAAGAGUUCUAAUAGGGAAAAAGAAAGCUAAAAAUGUUCAUCAAUGAAUACCAGGUUAUAGUUAGGACUAUAGUUCUGGUGAACUACAGCACAGCAGAGUGAAUUUGAAAAAUUAUAAUAUUCUAUGUAAUUCUAAAAGCUACAAAAAAAGAAUUUCAAAGGGUCACCAGAAUGAAAUAAUAAAUGUUUGAGGAGAUAAAUAUAUUUACCUUGUCUUGAACUUUACACAACAUGUUCAUUCAUCAACCCUGCAAUUUUUUCAAUUAAAAAGACAAUUAUAACUUAAAAACUAAAGUGGAUUCUAAAUGAAUUACUGAUAUAAUGGAAUUAAGUACCACUAUUCAUCAAUGAAAAGUUAAGUAUUUAUGCCACAACUGUUAGUAAAUAUAUGUAAAUAUAUACAUAUAUAAAUUUCCAAGUUGUGUGUAUAGAAUGAACUUGUGCAAAAGAUAUAGCUCAUUGAUAGAUUGUGGCUCACACUUGUAAUCCCAGCAGGUGGGAAGCAGACAGAAGAGAAAAUAGGGAGUCCCAGGUCAAACUGUGGUGUAUUGUUGAAACUCCCAUAAACAAGAAAGGGCUUGCCAUGAAUCCUUGAAUAUGUGCACUUAUUUAUGAAUUAAAAUUUCUUUCCCUACUUGGUGAGUACUUUGUCCAGACCAAAUGAAAAGUAGAAUAUUAUAGUCUCAUGUGAAAAGUUUGUCUAACAUCUUUAGUCGGAACACUGGGGGAAAUAUUUUUUUGGAACAGCAUUUGGGCUGUAAUUCAGGAAUGUGGUGAGUGCCACCAUGCUGUGCACAGAGCUGUGCAUAUUCUAGUGAGAAGUAACAAAUGAGCAAACAGUAAAUGAAUUCAUUCAGUACACUGGAGGUAAGCAGUGCUGCGGAAGGGUAACAGAGCCGAGUAUCCAAUACUAGAAUUGUUCAGCUAUAGAGAGAGAUCACUUGUUUUGCAGUUUUAAAUAGAGAAGUGGCCUGGAGGAGUAAACAUGUGCUCAGACCUGAAGGCCAAAGACAGUUUCUCCAUGAAUUAGGGAUCUAUCUUGUGAAGGAUGGCUGUUAAGUCAAGGAUAGCUGCAAGGUUUCUAGCUGAGGAACUAGACGGGGAUAUCAUUGAUGAAGAUUAAGAAGACUGCUCACAACAAAUCCAGUGCACUUUUCCUAUGCUUGCUCCUUCAGGCUAUUUAACACAUCCAUUUUGCUUGCUGCAGCACCCGUGCUGGGGCUCCCAUUUUUUUUUCCUCAGGCUACAGCCUCUUUGCCCCCCACUAGCACACUAGCACUACCUCCCUGCGACAGUCCCUACAUAACCUCUCCCAGUAAGGCCAUCUCUUCUGUCUUCUUUUCUGAUUCUCCACUAUCUGCAGAAAAAUCCCGCAGAUGUGCCUCUUUCUACCAUUCUCGGCCAUCAACCCUUCUGCUGUUUAUUCUAAAGUUAUCCCUGACAAAGUCAGGUUGUUCUUCCCACUCACUCCCCAAACUCAUUUCUGGUUCUGAUAAUUAAAUAAUUUAAGUUAAUGUAUCUUCUCUCUCACCCUGUUCCGCAGUCCUUGAUGACUAACAUCUAGAAAUUAAGACGCAUCUCAAAGUGUUUAAAAUGUUGUCAAGGUCGAGGGAAGUAACAGGAGUCUGUGUAAAUGAAGUGAGGUGGCAAAGCCAGAAUACAGAAUGUAUAAGCUGCUGUAGAUUAAAAGAACUCCGAUAGUGUCCUGAGGACAUUUGCCACUCACAGUGGGACAGAGUGACCUUGAAUGUGUGCAAGGCAGAAGGCUCCAAGUAAGAUCUGCAUUAAAAGCCAGGACCCUGGAAUGGCUCAUCGAGUGAAUUGGUACUGGGAAUAGUCAUUGGUCUAGAGUCUACAAGCAGCCUUAGCUCCUCCAGAGUCAUGGAAUAGGGAACAGAGGCAGGCAAUAGGUAGAGAGCAUCUGAGAGAAUAAAACUCUUAAUCCUGUGCUGUGCAGCACAUAAAAUUUAAAUGUAUGCUAUUAGUGUUGCAUGGAAAUUUCAGGUUAAAAAAUUAAAACCUAAUACAACUGAGAAAAGUCAAGACACUUCAAGAGGCUGCCCUCUAAGAACACUUCUACAACUCACAGGAGAGAAGAAAAGAAAAUCAUGCAAUUGAAACAAAACAGGAGCUACAUACAGAUAGAUAAUCUACUACCAAAAAUUAAUCAGAAAAAAUAAUAUCCAGUAAGAAGACUCAUAUUCCUAGAAACUCAAAUUUUAAAAAAUUGAAAAUGAGUAUAUAAUGAAAGUUUAAAUGCACUAGAAUCCUUGAAGAAAAAAGAUGGAACAUCUUUUUAGAAGACAUAUUUGAAGAAGAGUCAAGUAUCACAUACGUCCAAAUAUAAAGAAUACAGAAAUGCUUUUUCCAUUUGGGCACACAUGUUAUUUAAUACAAGAUUUUCUUUUUUUCAGUGUUCCCUGAGCACAAACAUGCUAAUGUGGAUAACUGAUCAUAUAUGAUUGCUGAGGAACUUUAAUGUACCAAUGGUGCUAUAACUAGAAUUUUAAUAUGGUAUUUUAUAAAGGAAUAAUACAAUUUAUAAUGUUGCUUUCCUCAUACUUUCAUUUUAUGUUUAAACAUUUUUUAAAAUCAUAGCAAAAAUCAAUGAUUUCCCCACAAAUAUGUGAAUUUCAUGAAGGUUCCAUGGCUUGAAAAUGUUGUUCUAAGCAGUAGACAGACCAAAAGUCAAAAUGAUUAAUUUAGGAGUCUAGCGUUUUUAUACUUAUAUUGAACUAUUUUUUUUUAGAACAAAUUGACCCAGUCUAAACUAUAAGAGUUCAUCUAUUUAACAUAGCAGUUGUAAUCUCUAAAUAUUAGUGAGUUCUUUCUUACCUUUUUCCAUUAACAUUUUAGAAUGUGAAAUGUUCUAAAUUUCACAUUCUAAAAUGUUAGAAGAAGAAGACUGCUCACAACAAAUCCAGUGCACUUUUCCUAUGCUUGCUGUGGAAUACAAUUGUGCAGUCCUAGGGUCUUUGAACCCAUAAAUAAUGACUGAAUUAUUGCCGAGUCAGUGGACUCAUAAUGAUCAGUUAAGUGUUUCCUUUACUAAAUAAUAUUUAAUACAUAAAUAUAUGAUAUUGAUUUUUCCAAAGAAUAAUGUCAAUGGGUCAAAUGUAAGACAACUAACAUUUAGAUGAUAAACAUUGUUUAGGUUUAUUCUCUAGAAUUAAAAUUUCUAAUACAAUUUUUUUUCUAUCUCUAACCUGGAGGGUUCCUCACCUAAAAAUUCCAGUUCUGUGUUUGUUUGUUGUUUCAUGGAGGCCAGGCUAUCCUUCAAUUUUCUUAUUUUUUUUUUAAACUUCUUUAUUGAGUCUUGGAGAGUUUCACAUCAUGCACCCCAAUUCUGUUCACCUCCCAGUUCCCCCAUACAUCCCCCUCAUCCUUGUUGCAUGCCCCCCAUGAAAGAAAGCAAAACAAAGUAAGCAAGCAACCAAACAAGCAAGAACCAAACAAAGAAACAACAACAACAACAACAAAAAAAAAAAACCCAAUAAACCAUAACAGAACAAAAACCACACUGGAAACAGAAAAAAAAACUCUGUUUCUCCUCUCCUAACUCUCCAUCACUUCUUCAUCCGUCCUGAUGGCAUUGGAGGCUUCGGUAUGUCAUGUCCUAUACCCCUUUGUCCCAUCAGCUUGACAAGCACCUGUUCAUUGCAGUGAGUCAUUGGUCUGGUUCAAGGCUUCUGGUUUUUGGUAUAACAUCCUCACUGGAUCCUCACCAGAGCUCUUCUGGGUUAUUUCAUGUCUUGGAGAUCUUGCAGGAAUCCUUCACCUCAGGUAGCCUUACGAAUCAAGUGAGAGAAAAUCAGAGGGCAAUACUGAGGCCGCUCCGCCCAUCACUACCCUGGGAAAGCUGGCCUAGCCUCUUGUGGGCCACUGCAGCAAGAGAGCUGGCCCCUACACUCAGGAGAGAGGGCCCCCACCCCCUGAACACAGGCAAGGAUGAGCCUACCCUGAGGGCAUGCAUUAGGGGAACUGACUCUGCCACCUCACCAAAGGCAGUUGGCCCCAGUGGGUCGAUCUGACCUGCCUGACUAGAACCCGAGCCACAACUGGGCCUUAGGUUUACCCACCCUAGCAUCUACCCCAUCUAGGUCCUGCUGGAGCUCAUGAAGGGACUGGUCUUACUGAACCAUGUCCUUGAACUUUCUAUGUGGCUGAGGCUGACCUUGUAUUCUUGAUCCUGUUCCCUCUACCUCACAUGAUCUGGGACUAUACUUAUACACCAAAACACCCAGCUAGAACCUUUACAUGUGCCUUUCAUAUGGGAAAUCUCUUUUCCUCUGAAUGUAGUUUGUCAAUUUUUUUUUUUAUAUCUGGGAUAAAUCUUUAAAUUUUCCUAGCCUGCAGAAAGCAACAGUAUCAUUGGCCAGUCCAUUUUUUUUUCCUUCUGGGAACACUAGGAUUCCUGGAAAGCAGAGAACACUUAUGUUACAAUGCCUCUCAAGGUAUCUUAAAUUUCACAUCCACAGGCAUUUCAGUACUAAAUGAAUUGGGUACUUUGAAUCUUUAUGUCCUCGUAGCCCACUAUAACACAAUGUGAUAGUAAUUGGUCUGCAACCGAAUUUUUCUACCUUCCCUUCAUAAUAAACAUGAACAUGUUAGCAGUUCAUAUGCGUAGAGUGGGUAAGUUUUGAAAUUAGGCACAUUUAUACAAGCCUUAGGCUGUAACAAAAUAUAAAAUGUGUACCAUCACAUGUUUAUGUUAAUUGGGUAAGUAAGAUCAUAAAUUGAAAAAAAAAUAUUGUUUUGUCAAAUGUUCUAUAAUAAAAGAAAUUUUGUUAAAUCUCACAAGUGCUUAUGUAUGUGUGAGAAAAAGAUUAUUAUUAUUAAAUAGUCUAUCUUUGAUUUAAAUUAUAUAUUUUGUUAAAGUGGACUGAUUAGCAUUACAUUACUCUUCUGUAAAAUGAAGUUCAUAAAGUAUGGCCCAGGUACUAAAUAACUGUUGGAUGAAAGAAAAUAACUGAAUGAAUAUGAUUAUUUAAAAUAUGACUUUUUGUAAUGGUUUCAAUGUAUAUUUAUUAGCUAAUAACUUGUGAAUUUGCUUAGGCAGGGCCUAUCAAGUUGAUUCAUUUCUUCAUUUCAUGUGUUUUUGUUACGUUAGAUGAUCGAACUAUAUUGAUUUCAAUAUGAUUAUAUAGGAGAAGCUCCAAGAAAAGCUGUUGUGUGUUUAUUAGGUUGUGGGGAAAGCAAGAAGGCUGUAGUAGAGAAGGAGCACAAGGGGAAAGAGAGAAGGUAUGGUAGCAUGCGAGCACGUGUGAGCGUGUAGGGGUGUAGCAACAUGCUAUUUCACCUACAGGCAGAUAAGAUGCUUUAUAGUACUGCUUUAUAAUCAUUUUAACUGUGAAUGUGUUCUGCAUAUAGUAUACAUGCAUUAUCCUACACCUUAAAACAGACAGAAUCUUGCAUAUGGAGUCUGUAUCACUCCCUGGGCUCCUGUAACAAAGCGUCACGUCCUUCACACCCUGGGUAACCUGGAACAACGGAAGUUCAUCCUUACAGUUCUGGAGGCUAAACAUCUGCCAUGGCUUUACUGGGGCAAUGCUGUCUCUGGAGCUUUAGGGGAGAAUCUUGGUCCUUCUCAGAGCUGCUGCAGCUCAUGUCCUUGCCUUCCCUGGGCUUACAGAGUGGUGUGUUCUCCCUGUGGCUUCUUGUGGCUUCUCUCAAAACUCUACCACACAGACAUCAGUCAUAAUCUAUUAGUCCUCUCCCUAAUUCAAUGUAAUCUUGGUUUAAGGUAAACCAGUAAAGAGCCUACUUCAAAGCCAGGACACAUUCCCAGGUAUUAGGGGUACUUCCAGACUAUUGAGGGAAAAGCAGUAAAUACCAGCAUCUUCCUCAAAAGACUUGUUAAUGAUAAUGAAAAUUCAAGUUCAAAUGGUUGCUCAUAAUUUUAGAUACAUGUAGUCUGUUCUGACACGUUCCAUUCACAUUGUCAAGUGUUAAUGGUAAGAGUAUAUGUGUUGUGCAUGUGUUGGGGAGGGGAUACAAGCUAUCAGAAAUUAAGUGCAGCUGUGAGCCUGAGUUAAAUUUGGCCUGUCUAUUUACACACUAGUUCAAUGUGCAGCAAAUGAAAGUCACAUUGCAAAGCAUACAGUAUAGAUUAUGGCAGAAGUCCAGCCUCCCUCAUCUUCUAAUCGCUGUCUGUGUGUGUGUGUGUGUGUGUGUGUGUGUG
Long non-coding RNA from Peromyscus californicus insignis, 10165 nucleotides. RefSeq lists it as uncharacterized. The transcript has 5 exons. NCBI's taxonomy places the organism in Eukaryota, Metazoa, Chordata, Mammalia, Rodentia, Cricetidae. The record is from RefSeq and is a predicted model, not a curated record.